This 465-nucleotide ribosomal RNA is filed under the name uncultured bacterium. Its description in RNAcentral is "partial 16S ribosomal RNA". It matches the Rfam family "Bacterial small subunit ribosomal RNA", at positions 338 to 795 of the family's 1533-position model. The record is from RNAcentral.
CCUACGGGAGGCUGCAGUGGGGAAUAUUGCGCAAUGGGCGAAAGCCUGACGCAGCGACGCCGCGUGAGGGAUGAAGGUCUUCGGAUCGUAAACCUCUGUCAGCAGGGAAGAACGGUCACUGUGCUAAUCAGCAGUGAAUUGACGGUACCUGCAAAGGAAGCACCGGCUAACUCCGUGCCAGCAGCCGCGGUAAUACGGAGGGUGCGAGCGUGAAUCGGAAUUACUGGGCGUAAAGCUCUCGUAGGCGGUAUGUCAAGUCAAGGGUGAAAUCCCCGCGCUCAACGUGGGAACUGCAUUGGAAACUGGCAAACUGGAGUGUGUGAGAGGAUAGUGGAAUUCCAGGUGUAGGAGUGAAAUCCGUAGAUAUCUGGAGGAACAUCAGUGGCGAAGGCGACUAUCUGGAACAUAACUGACGCUGAGGAGCGAAAGCGUGGGUAGCAAACAGGAUUAGAUACCCGGGUAGUC